CUCUUGUGUUUUCCAAUCCUUUGUCGAAUGCUCAUAAUAAUAAAAAUGAUAAAUUACAAUGGGGGACCAAACCUUACCCAAAAAUAAUGGAAAAAGGGGGAAAAACAACAAAAAAAAUGAAAACGCGAAAAGAAAGCUAAUUCGCUAACUUGUUCUCACAACAAUUCCAAAUAACCAUAUUGAUUCGGCAACGCAUAAAACAAUAGAACAAGAAAAUAGAACAAGAAAAAACAUGAGAAAAAAAAAAGGCACCAACAAAAAAACUAAACACCUUAACCUCCCAACAUAAGAAGAUCCGAAACCACAUGCUUUACUGACCUAUCUGUUGACGAGCGAGAGUGAUAUGCUUCCUUAGUCUGCUGAGGAUGAUGUUGAUCUUUUGACCAUAGUGGGAAAGUUCUUGCUUAUGCUCCCUUAAUAAUUCAUCAAAUUAAUUAACAAACAUAUAUGAAAAAAAAAAAUUAUUAGGGUGCUGCAAAUGAUAGGUGAUGAUUAUGGGAUGCCAACAUAGUUGAGAUGUCAUAGUUAUCAUGUGAUGCAUGUGCACGCUAAUGUUUUAUAAAAAAAAUAUAUAUAUAU
Molecule: long non-coding RNA, 579 nt
Filed under: Trifolium pratense (red clover)
Lineage: Eukaryota; Viridiplantae; Streptophyta; Magnoliopsida; Fabales; Fabaceae
Description: long non-coding RNA (TPRA_LNC010134)
Source: RNAcentral